This 204-nucleotide unclassified non-coding RNA is filed under the name Hevea brasiliensis (rubber tree). Lineage: Eukaryota; Viridiplantae; Streptophyta; Magnoliopsida; Malpighiales; Euphorbiaceae. The record is from RNAcentral.
AGAACAUUAAGCACUAAUUCUGAUACAGCAAGAACUGUCAACAAUGUGCACAAAGAAAAAGGAUAGUGUUGAAUAAUACAUUGUACAGGAAGUUACAUGUAUGCGAUAAUUGUUAAUUUCUAGACACAAACGCGUGUGUGGUUAUGUACACACAGUGAGAUGCACCAUUUAAAAAGGUACCUUCUAAUUAUGCCCUGCAAUUGU